This 676-nucleotide long non-coding RNA is filed under the name Androctonus crassicauda. Lineage: Eukaryota; Metazoa; Arthropoda; Arachnida; Scorpiones; Buthidae. The record is from RNAcentral.
AUAAUGUUAAUGGUGAUUUUCUCCUAUCAAGCAUCGGUCUUAUAGUGGGUGGUAUUUUGUGUUUUAACAAAGCCGUACAAUGGUGGACAUGCAGGGUUGCUUAAGGUUUUUGGUUUCCACAUUUCAGGGAAUCUGUUCAUAUUGGUAAUCCUUCUUACUUUCACCUGUAGACUGUCAGUGGGAUCUGUCGUUAUUAUCUCUGCUCCAGAUGCUGUAAUAUAAUCAUACAAUAUUUCAUCAUACAUACUAUGGAGGAAGUAUUACAAUUUUCUUAGAUUUGUCAUCUCUAGUACUUAUUAUCUCAUUAUCCUUAAGCCACUCAGUACAUGUUGUGAGUUGAGUCUCAAAUUACACUCUUGCUUCCAUUUGUCAGUUUUAAUAACACUCUUAUAUUUAGUUAUAAAUGCAGUUUGAACUUCUUCUUGUUCAUCUUGAUUGAUAUUCUGUAACAGCCUUUCUACCAUAGGAAUGAGAUGCCUAGGGUUUCUUAUAGGUAGUAAGUUGGAAGUUACCAAGUUGGAUAAUUUAUUUCAUAUAUUCUGGCAACCUAAUAUCACCCAACACAGUAGCAACUUGAUCAAAGGGAGGGAAUCUUUUUCUAUAAUAUUUCAACUGUUUACUGAAUAUCCAUCUUAUUUUCUUUAUAUAAGAAGUUCUUAUGUUAGAAGCGAAUCGC